AUCUUAUUUGAUAGAGAAAAGAAGAAGAAAAUAAACCAAAGUUAUCAAAGAGGAAGUUGAAAAAGUUAAAUAGAAUGAGUAUUGCCGAACUGAAACAAAAAGUCAGUAGGCCAGAAUUGGUUGAAAUGCAUGAUGUUACUGCAAAAGAUCCUGUUUUGUUACUACAGUUAAAGG
Long non-coding RNA from Centruroides sculpturatus (bark scorpion), 174 nucleotides. RefSeq lists it as uncharacterized. The record is from RefSeq and is a predicted model, not a curated record. NCBI's taxonomy places the organism in Eukaryota, Metazoa, Arthropoda, Arachnida, Scorpiones, Buthidae. The transcript is spliced from 2 exons.